Molecule: ribosomal RNA, 548 nt
Filed under: Fusarium oxysporum
Lineage: Eukaryota; Fungi; Ascomycota; Sordariomycetes; Hypocreales; Nectriaceae
Description: eukaryotic LSU rRNA
Rfam family: 5.8S ribosomal RNA (bases 181-334)
Source: RNAcentral
UUUCCGUAGGUGAACCUGCGGAGGGAUUCAUUACCGAGUUUACAACUCCAAACCCCUGUGAACAUACCACUUGUUGCCUCGGCGGAUCAGCCCGCUCCCGGUAAAACGGGACGGCCCGCCAGAGGACCCCUAAACUCUGUUUCUAUAUGUAACUUCUGAGUAAAACUAUAAAUAAAUCAAAACUUUCAACAACGGAUCUCUUGGUUCUGGCAUCGAUGAAGAACGCAGCAAAAUGCGAUAAGUAAUGUGAAUUGCAGAAUUCAGUGAAUCAUCGAAUCUUUGAACGCACAUUGCGCCCGCCAGUAUUCUGGCGGGCAUGCCUGUUCGAGCGUCAUUUCAACCCUCAAGCACAGCUUGGUGUUGGGACUCGCGUUAAUUCGCGUUCCCCAAAUUGAUUGGCGGUCACGUCGAGCUUCCAUAGCGUAGUAGUAAAACCCUCGUUACUGGUAAUCGUCGCGGCCACGCCGUUAAACCCCAACUUCUGAAUGUUGACCUCGGAUCAGGUAGGAAUACCCGCUGAACUUAAGCAUAUCAAUAAGUCGGAGGAA